Molecule: ribosomal RNA, 497 nt
Filed under: uncultured bacterium
Lineage: Bacteria
Description: partial 16S ribosomal RNA
Rfam family: Bacterial small subunit ribosomal RNA
Source: RNAcentral
GACGAACGCUGGCGGCGUGCUUAAUACAUGCAAGUAGAACGCUGAAGAGAGGAGUUUUCUCUUCUUGGAUGAGGUGCGAACGGGUGAGUAACGCGUAGGUAACCUGUCUCUUAGCGGUGGAUAACUAUUGGAAACGAUAGCUAAUACCGCAUAACAUUGGCUGACACAUGUCAUUUAUUUGAAAGGUGCAAUUGCUCCACUACACGAUGGAUCUGCGUUGUAUUAGCUAGUAAUUGAGGUAAAGGCUCACCUAGGCGACGAUACCUAGCCGACCUGAGAGGGUGGGCGGCCACACUGGGACUGAGACACGGCCCAGACUCCUUCGGGAGGCAGCAGUAGGGAAUCGUCGGCAAUGGGGGCAAACCUGACCGAGCAACGCCGCGUGAGUGAAGAAGGUUUUCGGGUCGUAAAGCACUGUUGUAAGUCAAGAACGGGUGUGAGGGUGGAAAGUUCACACUGUGACGGUAGCUUACCAGAAAGGGACGGCUAACUACGUG